UACGUAGGGCGCAAGCGUUGUCCGGAAUUAUUGGGCGUAAAGGGCGCGUAGGCGGCCUGGCAAGUGGAAGGUGAAAUCCCUCGGCUUAACCGAGGAACUGCCCUCCAAACUGCUUGGCUUGAGUCCGGGAGAGGUGAGUGGAAUUCCCAGUGUAGCGGUGAAAUGCGUAGAUAUUGGGAGGAACACCAGUGGCGAAGGCGGCUCACUGGACCGGAACUGACGCUGAGGCGCGAAAGCGUGGGGAGCAAACAGG
RNAcentral lists this ribosomal RNA (253 nucleotides) under uncultured bacterium. Its description in RNAcentral is "partial 16S ribosomal RNA". It matches the Rfam family "Bacterial small subunit ribosomal RNA", at positions 524 to 776 of the family's 1533-position model. The record is from RNAcentral.